ACCUCUCUCUUGAGCUCUUUCCUUUGAGACGCUUUUGAGAUUCUGUGCUCUGCUGAAAGAAGGCUUGGAAAUGCAGAACGGUGCCAGCUCUUGGGACUGAUAAGUUUGAGCCAGUUUGGAUCCAUUGGAGUCAAGCUGCCUGGAAUCAACUUCUAGUUGUGGAUUGGGGGCUCCAUAGUGCUGGUCUUCCAUCCUAUCAUGAAGCUCUGUUCCCCUUCUCUAACCAAAUGAUACUUACCUUAACAUCAUGGGAACUCACCUCUGGAGCCCUUCUGUGUGGAACCUUCAUAAACUUCCUUGCAUUGUCCUGCCCGAUGAAGCUUAGAACCUCGGAACCCAUCUUGAACCCAAGAGUUCCACUAGAACAGCAUCUGUUCAACAUCUUUCUUCUUACCAGGACUCCCAAAGUGAAGUGUCCAUGGGUGCCAAAGCAUCCUUAA
This 440-nucleotide long non-coding RNA is filed under the name Pogona vitticeps (central bearded dragon). Its description in RNAcentral is "lncRNA (ENSPVIG00000020862.1)". Lineage: Eukaryota; Metazoa; Chordata; Lepidosauria; Squamata; Agamidae. The record is from RNAcentral.